RNAcentral lists this ribosomal RNA (465 nucleotides) under Vreelandella stevensii. Its description in RNAcentral is "partial 16S ribosomal RNA". It matches the Rfam family "Bacterial small subunit ribosomal RNA", at positions 338 to 795 of the family's 1533-position model. Lineage: Bacteria; Pseudomonadati; Pseudomonadota; Gammaproteobacteria; Oceanospirillales; Halomonadaceae. The record is from RNAcentral.
CCUACGGGGGGCAGCAGUGGGGAAUAUUGGACAAUGGGGGGAACCCUGAUCCAGCCAUGCCGCGUGUGUGAAGAAGGCCCUCGGGUUGUAAAGCACUUUCAGUGAGGAAGAACGCCUGGUGGUUAAUACCCAUCAGGAAAGACAUCACUCACAGAAGAAGCACCGGCUAACUCCGUGCCAGCAGCCGCGGUAAUACGGAGGGUGCGAGCGUUAAUCGGAAUUACUGGGCGUAAAGCGCGCGUAGGUGGCUUGAUAAGCCGGUUGUGAAAGCCCCGGGCUCAACCUGGGAACGGCAUCCGGAACUGUCAAGCUAGGGUGCAGGAGAGGAAGGUAGAAUUCCCGGUGUAGCGGUGAAAUGCGUAGAGAUCGGGAGGAAUACCAGUGGCGAAGGCGGCCUUCUGGACUGACACUGACACUGAGGUGCGAAAGCGUGGGUAGCAAACAGGAUUAGAUACCCGUGUAGUC